UCUUUUGACCCUGGGUAGAGUUUAGACCCAGAAUUACUAAAUCACGCAAGGAAAGGCAUAAAAUACUCAGACCUGUGAUCAGUCGGAUGAAGGAAGAAAAACAGUUAAAUCUUCAGAAAAAUCCUAUCAUCACUUUCCAGAGGCCAUGUCUCCAAUCCUUCCCGUUCCUGGAUAACUGCUUUGGACAGGUUUCUUUUGGUAUGAGGAUGAAAUAUUUCUCUGAUGUCAGUUUCACUUCUGAAGUUCUACGUCUCAGGAUGUAUUUUCUCACUUCAUCGUAGGUUGGAUGAGGCAUAUUCUAUAAGAACAUGACUAAUCUGGAAACAUGUUUUACGUGACUGCACAUAUAUACCCUAUAAUAAAAUUGCUUACCAUCUCGAGGAAGGAAGAGAA
This 393-nucleotide long non-coding RNA is filed under the name Monodelphis domestica (gray short-tailed opossum). Its description in RNAcentral is "lncRNA (ENSMODG00000041558.1)". The record is from RNAcentral. Lineage: Eukaryota; Metazoa; Chordata; Mammalia; Didelphimorphia; Didelphidae.